Molecule: ribosomal RNA, 465 nt
Filed under: Vreelandella stevensii
Lineage: Bacteria; Pseudomonadati; Pseudomonadota; Gammaproteobacteria; Oceanospirillales; Halomonadaceae
Description: partial 16S ribosomal RNA
Rfam family: Bacterial small subunit ribosomal RNA
Source: RNAcentral
CCUACGUGCGGCAGCAGUGGGGAAUAUUGGACAAUGGGCGAAAGCCUGAUCCAGCCAUGCCGCGUGUGUGAAGAAGGCCUUCGGGUUGUAAAGCACUUUCAGUGGGGAAGAAAGCCUUGGGGCUAAUACCCUCGAGGAAGGACAUCACCCACAGAAGAAGCACCGGCUAACUCCGUGCCAGCAGCCGCGGUAAUACGGAGGGUGCGAGCGUUAAUCGGAAUUACUGGGCGUAAAGCGCGCGUAGGCGGUCUGAUAAGCCGGUUGUGAAAGCCCCGGGCUCAACCUGGGAACGGCAUCCGGAACUGUCAGGCUAGAGUGCAGGAGAGGAAGGUAGAAUUCCCGGUGUAGCGGUGAAAUGUGUAGAGAUCGGGAGGAAUACCAGUGGCGAAGGCGGCCUUCUGGACUGACACUGACGCUGAGGUGCGAAAGCGUGGGUAGCAAACAGGAUUAGAUACCCCUGUAGUC